RNAcentral lists this ribosomal RNA (248 nucleotides) under uncultured bacterium. Its description in RNAcentral is "partial 16S ribosomal RNA". It matches the Rfam family "Bacterial small subunit ribosomal RNA", at positions 109 to 353 of the family's 1533-position model. The record is from RNAcentral.
AGUAACACGUGGGUAACCUGCCUUAUAGUGGGGGAUAGCCUUUCGAAAGGAAGAUUAAUACCGCAUAAGAUUGUAGUAUCGCAUAAUAUAGCAAUUAAAGGAGCAAUUCGCUAUAAGAUGGACCCGCGUCGCAUUAGCUAGUUGGUGAGGUAAUGGCUCACCAAGGCGACGAUGCGUAGCCGACCUGAGAGGGUGAACGGCCACAUUGGGACUGAGACACGGCCCAGACUCCUACGGGAGGCAGCAUG